CCUACGGGAGGCUGCAGUAGGGAAUUUUGCGCAAUGGGGGAAACCCUGACGCAGCAACGCCGCGUGGAGGAUGAAGGUUUUCGGAUUGUAAACUCCUUUUGUUAGAGAAGAUAAUGACGGUAUCUAACGAAUAAGCACCGGCUAACUCCGUGCCAGCAGCCGCGGUAAUACGGAGGGUGCAAGCGUUGCUCGGAAUCACUGGGCGUAAAGAGCGCGUAGGCGGGAUAGCAAGUCAGAUGUUAAAUCCGAUGGCUUAACCAUAGAACUGCAUUUGAAACUGUUAUUCUAGAGUGUGGGAGAGGUAAGUGGAAUUCUUGGUGUAGGGGUAAAAUGCGUAGAGAUCAAGAGGAAUACUCAUUGCGAAGGCGACCUGCUAGAACAUAACUGACGCUGAGGCGCGAAAGCGUGGGGAGCAAACAGGAUUAGAUACCCCUGUAGUC
Molecule: ribosomal RNA, 440 nt
Filed under: uncultured bacterium
Lineage: Bacteria
Description: partial 16S ribosomal RNA
Rfam family: Bacterial small subunit ribosomal RNA
Source: RNAcentral